UACGACUACAUAUCAGGCAUAUCAAUAAGCGGAGGAAAAGAAACUAACAAGGAUUCCCUUAGUAACGGCGAGUGAAGCGGGAAGAGCUCAAAUUUGAAAUCUUCAAGGGUUUACCUUGACGAAUUGUAGUUUAAAGAAGUGUUUUCUGUUGAGUGUUUCGGUAAAAGUUCUUUGGAAUAGGACAUCAUAGAGGGUGAGAAUCCCGUAUUUGACCGUUAUUUUCAGCUGUGUGAUACACUUUCAAAGAGUCGGAUUGUUUGGGAAUGCAGUCCAAAAUGGGUGGUAAAUUUCAUCUAAAGCUAAAUAUUGGCGAGAGACCGAUAGCGAACAAGUACCGUGAGGGAAAGAUGAAAAGAACUUUGAAAAGAGAGUUAAACAGUACGUGAAAUUGUCAAAAGGGAAGCGUUUGACAGCCAGUGUUGUUUUCUCGAAAAUCAAUUAAAAAUGACCGGAUUUUGUGUUGUAUUGACUUUAACAGCUUUCUGCACUUUUUUCUUGUCUUUUUUAAUGCACUUUUCGUUUAACAAGUCAACAUCAAUUUCUUUUGUUGUAAAAGGGUCAUUGGAAGGUGGCUUUCACUUCGGUGAAAGUGUUUAUAGCCUUUGACUUCUGCAAUCGGAGAGAUUGAGGUCUGCAGCGUAGAUCCGUCGGGGUUAGAUACAUUUGUGCUAAGUUAUAGUUUUUCAUAGACAACAUGUUGACUAUGAUUAAUCAUGUAGCUUACUCGCUUAUGCUAUUUUACCUACGCUUAGGAUGUUGACGCGCGUGUGUGCGUG
RNAcentral lists this ribosomal RNA (776 nucleotides) under uncultured Neocallimastigales. RNAcentral describes it as "partial large subunit ribosomal RNA". It matches the Rfam family "Eukaryotic large subunit ribosomal RNA", at positions 24 to 625 of the family's 3401-position model. The record is from RNAcentral. Lineage: Eukaryota; Fungi; Neocallimastigomycota; Neocallimastigomycetes; Neocallimastigales.